RNAcentral lists this ribosomal RNA (224 nucleotides) under Vibrio kanaloae. RNAcentral describes it as "partial 23S ribosomal RNA". It matches the Rfam family "Bacterial large subunit ribosomal RNA", at positions 43 to 268 of the family's 2925-position model. Lineage: Bacteria; Pseudomonadati; Pseudomonadota; Gammaproteobacteria; Vibrionales; Vibrionaceae. The record is from RNAcentral.
AGAGGCGAUGAAAGACGUAAUAACUUGCGAUAAGCCCAGAUUAGGUAGUAAUAACCUUUUGAGUCUGGGAUUUCUGAAUGGGGAAACCCACGUGCACAAGCACGUAUCCUGUUGUGAAUACAUAGCAACAGGAGGCAAACCGGGGGAACUGAAACAUCUAAGUACCCCGAGGAAGAGAAAUCAACCGAGAUUCCGAAAGUAGCGGCGAGCGAAAUUGGAUUAGC